Mauremys reevesii (Reeves's turtle) is the source of this 1717-nucleotide long non-coding RNA. RefSeq lists it as uncharacterized. The transcript has 5 exons. The record is from RefSeq and is a predicted model, not a curated record. NCBI's taxonomy places the organism in Eukaryota, Metazoa, Chordata, Testudines, Geoemydidae.
ACGUUAACUUUUGUGGAUACCAUUCUUAGAUAUCUAUCAUCUCUGUUGAUUGUAUACUAUGAAGAGUAUUAGUGCAUGUUUCAUUGGGGUUACUAGAGCCUGAGAGCCCUAUUAGUCCCACUUGUUAAAAGGAAUAAGUUUAAAGCAGUUGGGAGAAGAAGACCUAGUAGAGAAAUGGUUUGGAAUUCCCUUUGUAUGGAAGGGCCCUGACAGGAGCCAGGAAGAGGGAGAACGGUGGGAAAGCUACAGGAGUGGAAUUAAUUUAUGUGGUGGGCCUUGAAAAAGGAACAAGAGACAGCACUUUGUGGGGUGGAUCUAUAGUGUGACAUGGCUUGAAGGCCACAUCAUCAGCAGAUCACAGAACUCUUGAGAAAGACAGCAAGGCAGAGUUGUUGAAACAUGCGACAAAGGGGUACUCAAGAAUGGCCCUGCUGCCACGCCAGGGGAGGCCCUGGACCAGAGGAAACUUGACCUGGAGGAAGGACUGGGGCUACCAGGACUGCCAGCAGCCGAGUACCAGGAGGAACAGGAGGAGCCUGAGCCAGAGGGGGAGCUGGAGCUGCCAGCAGCUGACUGCCCGGACGAACUGGAGCGACCAGAGGGACUCGUACAAGCAACCGGCAUGCAAGUGCUGAACACAGUGGAUUCUGCUCUUCACUUCUCUUAUUAAGGAGAAACACAGAACUGAGAUCACAGGACUUGGCAAGCAAACAAAAGAGGAGCAUAUUUUGAAAUACAGGCCUAAAUGGAGCUUUGAAGCCACAACCCUCUUUAGGGACACAUAGGCCAUACAACAGUGAGUCUCCCCAAGGGCAUUCUGGCUGACUCUGCUAGAAUUUCACCAGAAGUUCUGGACUUGUGCACUACCACUCUUUUUACAUUGUGCAGCAUAUGUGCUCCUCUGCACUGGCCCAGCUCCGCUGCUCAAUGGGGAGGAACAGUGGUGCUUUUCCACUUGGACACUCUAGUGCUGGCAACAGCGCUAGACAAACAAUCAGGGAGUGUAGUUGCAGCAGUUGUGCCUGGCCCCAAGCAGUGGAUCAUUGAGCCAUCUUGCAUUCCUGCAGAUGUAGUCUGGCCCCCACAGCAUUCAGUUUUAAAAUGUAAAUGUGUUUGUAGUGUAAGUUUACAUGUGUGUUCCCUCAGUGAGUUGGGAUCUAAACUAGUUGUUCUUCUUCUUGCUUUAAUUUUUUAUGAUUAAAUAAAAGCUUAUUGUUCACCUUUUAAGAAUUAAACCAUCUGAAGCUUCCAUCUAUAAUUGCAUGAUCUUGAAAUGUGUUAAACAACCACUAAGUAUAUUGUUUGUACUUUAGAGACCUUUUUAAACGUCCUUAGCGUGCUCUAAAAUCAUAAUUCAUUUCAAAGUUCUGGUUUUGAAUUGUUAAAUUAUUAGCUAGAACACAAUUUAAGUAUUCCCUGAAUGGAGCUGGCAGUCUUUUAAAAGGAACUGUUUCUCUGUGGGAUUGAUAGCUAUUAAUUCUAACAUUAAAGCUUCCAAAUUUGAGACUAAUAAUGAAUUUAAUAUUGGUUUAAACUUCUAAAGACCUUCUGUAACUUUUGCCUGUGUGGGAGUAGGAGGAGGGAAAGUUGGCCAGAGUAAUAAAAAGCAUGACAUGCAAAACUCCAUUUAAAAUGGUAAUGUUAAUCCAUUAUAUUUUGAGAGUUAUGUCUGCGUGAGCAAGAUUGCAAAAAUAAAGUAAAUUUUUAUCUUGUUUGA